RNAcentral lists this ribosomal RNA (402 nucleotides) under uncultured bacterium. Its description in RNAcentral is "bacterial SSU rRNA". It matches the Rfam family "Bacterial small subunit ribosomal RNA", at positions 355 to 774 of the family's 1533-position model. The record is from RNAcentral.
UGGGGAAUCUUGCACAAUGGGGGCAACCCUGAUGCAGCGACGCCGCGUGAGCGAUGAAGCCCUUCGGGGCGUAAAGCUCUUUCGACCGGAACGAUAAUGACGGUACCGGGAGAAGAAGCUGCGGCUAACUACGUGCCAGCAGCCGCGGUAAUACGUAGGCAGCAAGCGUUGUUCGAAGUUACUGGGCGUAAAGAGUGCGUAGGCGGUUUUCUAAGUUCGGUGUGAAAUCUCCCGGCUUAACUGGGAGGGUGCGCCGAAGACUGGGAAGCUGGAGUGUGGGAAAGGCAGGCGGAAUUCCUGGUGUAGCGGUGAAAUGCGUAGAUAUCAGGAGGAACACCGGCGGUGUAGACGGCUUGCUAGACCAUAACUGACGCUGAGGCACGAAAGCGUGGGUAGCAAACA